GUUUUCCUCUGCGUAGUGCAUCUUGCGUGCGGUGAUCGUCAUUCUGCAUUGGCGUUUGUGACCCUACGUUUUGCGAUUUGCGAACCACACGCCGAAUUACGCAGACACACCUAAAUAUGACGACGCACGGAGAGCUCGAGGAAUAACGUAACGACGCACCAGAGACUCGAAGAAUAAUGUGACGACAUCGACGACGCACCGAGCGGCACACAUUCCGAACGAGGUCGUAUCAACAAACACUGUUGUACGCGCGCAAAAAAACAACGCCGCCGUUACCUACUCACCGUUUUUCCACGAACGUUCAACGUACGUUGCGAAAUACAAAAAAUUUAACGCGCUUCGCGAAAUACAUCGCGAACACACUAUUUCCCGCGUUCCGCGGUAAUUAUUUACUUUGAAUAUGCCAAUAUUUUUUCCAUAACCUGUUUCUCGACACAGACGAUUUGUCGUGUUACUCGGCGCUCUCAAUCUAGUGGAUGAGUUACAUCGAAAUUGGUGAAAAAUUCAAAAACGUGACGCGUGAUAUGCACAAAUUCGGACGUCGUCAAAAGAGAUUCUCGCCCAUGCGAGCAUCGCGAUGCAAAAAAAAAAUAAUCCUCCCGAGAGUUCCAAUUCCUAUCACAAGCAAAAGGCUCGAAUGUAUUGUGACGAUCCAGGAGCGGCACGCGCCUCUUUCUAUUCGCUUGAGUCUCAGUACCGAACGAUAGUAGAGCCGACUUCGUAAAAACAAACAGCACACUGUAGGUUAUCAAACAAAUGCCAGGCAUUGAGCAUCAGCCAGCUUGUAGCAGAGCAAACUCUUCGAGGUUGCUCGGGCAACCAGCAAACACAAAGAAACCAACCACCACUAGCCGCGAGACGCGAGACUCGAGAACUCGCGGGGGCGGCGGCGGCACGGCUGUAGCAAUUCCGAGGAAUCGCGUGGAGUGGAGUAUGAAAAAGAGGCCCUUCGGACCAUUUCGAUGUGAAUGACUGAUGACCUAAUCGACGCCCUAAACGAUGCGCUGCGAAAACGACUACACCGUUCUUGAUUGGGGAGGAUCGACAGUCACAUCUGGAAUUCUAGGAUCAAUACAACGAAGGAUAUAUCUCUAUAGUGCGGACCAUCCGAAAAGAUUCACUCCUAUCAAUCCCGACAGCUCUCUACGAGAUCUUCUAAGAGGCA
Molecule: unclassified non-coding RNA, 1165 nt
Filed under: Acromyrmex echinatior (Panamanian leafcutter ant)
Lineage: Eukaryota; Metazoa; Arthropoda; Insecta; Hymenoptera; Formicidae
Description: uncharacterized LOC105150502, transcript variant X1
Source: RNAcentral